RNAcentral lists this ribosomal RNA (292 nucleotides) under uncultured bacterium. Its description in RNAcentral is "partial 16S ribosomal RNA". It matches the Rfam family "Bacterial small subunit ribosomal RNA", at positions 505 to 796 of the family's 1533-position model. The record is from RNAcentral.
GUGUCAGCAGCCGCGGUAAUACAGAGGGUGCUAGCGUUAAUCGGAAUUACUGGGCGUAAAGGGCGCGUAGGCGGUGAGAUAUGUGUGAUGUGAAAGCCCUGGGCUUAACCUAGGAAGUGCAUCGCAAACUGUCUUGCUGGAGUAUAUGAGAGGGUGGCGGAACUUCCGGUGUAGCGGUGAAAUGCGUAGAGAUCGGAAGGAACGUCGAUGGCGAAGGCAGCCACCUGGCAUAAUACUGACGCUGAGGCGCGAAAGCGUGGGGAGCGAACAGGAUUAGAUACCCUAGUAGUCC